Humulus lupulus (European hop) is the source of this 768-nucleotide long non-coding RNA. RefSeq lists it as uncharacterized. Lineage: Eukaryota; Viridiplantae; Streptophyta; Magnoliopsida; Rosales; Cannabaceae. The transcript is spliced from 3 exons. The record is from RefSeq and is a predicted model, not a curated record.
CUCAGCAACCUAGACUACUUAUUCAGUAUAUACAUAUAUAUAUAGAUAUAUAUAUAUUAAUCAGAUCAAGACAGAGAGAACUACCAGAGACGAAGCUUCAUUUGCUAUUCCUUUGAGCUGAGCUAGUGAGAGAGUCUAGAGAGAAGCUCUGAGGGGCUCAGUUGUAUGUACAUGCAAAAGAAAGAACAGAAAGAGAGUUAGAAAAAGUGAGAAAGAAAAGAAAAAUCAGAGAGAUAGAAAGAACAGAUUAUCAAUCAAAGACUAUGAUUCGAAAUCUGAUGCAAACACUGUGUAAUACCUUUUGUGAUUAGUGAAUACUCAAGCACUCUGAGGUAGUUUGACGGAGACGUAGCCCAUCGUUCUGGGGUGAACUCCGAGAUCAAUCUUUGGUGUUCUGACUCUCACCCUCUGGGUGUGUGCGAGCUUUAGAAGCAGUCUAGCUGGUUGUGUGAGCCGAGUAUUAAUCUUGCUGAAAGGUUUGGUGUCUACUGGAAGAUAGUUUUGGUGGCGGGAAAGGUUCUUGGAAGCUUGGGGAUGUGUAUUGAGGCGGGAUGGAAUCAAUGGACCGAGCGUUCGAUUCGAGGAUGAAGUCUCUUUAAUUAUGGUUUUCUAUGUAUUUUUCCGCAAUUGGUUGUAAUAAGUUUUAAUUAAGUUUUCAUUAUGCCAAAGUUAUGUUUUGUUUCAAACAAUGGGAUCCCAAUGUCCAACUUAUGAAUUUUAUAUAGUUUUAAACCGUUACCUUACAGUUCUAAAAUAAAGAUAUGUUAU